GCUGUAGCUCAGAGGCAGAGCAUCUGCUUUGCAUGCAGAAGGUCUCAGGUUCAAUCCCCGAUAGAAUUU
Molecule: non-coding RNA, 69 nt
Organism: Podarcis lilfordi (Lilford's wall lizard)
Lineage: Eukaryota; Metazoa; Chordata; Lepidosauria; Squamata; Lacertidae
Source: the annotation of a GenBank genome assembly